GACGAACGCUGGCGGCGUGCUUAACACAUGCAAGUCGAACGGAAAGGCCCUGCUUUUGUGGGGUGCUCGAGUGGCGAACGGGUGAGUAACACGUGAGUAACCUGCCCUUGACUUUGGGAUAACUUCAGGAAACUGGGGCUCAUACCGGAUAGGAGCUCCUGCUGCAUGGUGGGGGUUGGAAAGUUUCGGCGGUUGGGGAUGGACUCGCGGCUUAUCAGCUUGUUGGUGGGGUAGUGGCUUACCAAGGCUUUGACGGGUAGCCGGCCUGAGAGGGUGACCGGCCACAUUGGGACGGAGAUACGGCCCAGACUCCUACGGGAGGCAGCAGUGGGGAAUAUUGCACAAGGGGCGGAAGCCUGAUGCAGCAACGCCGCGUGCGGGAUGACGGCCUUCGGGUUGUAAACCGCUUUCGCCUGUGACGAAGCGUGAGUGACGGUAAUGGGUAAAGAAGCACCGGCUAACUACGUG
This 468-nucleotide ribosomal RNA is filed under the name uncultured bacterium. RNAcentral describes it as "partial 16S ribosomal RNA". It matches the Rfam family "Bacterial small subunit ribosomal RNA", at positions 28 to 507 of the family's 1533-position model. The record is from RNAcentral.